UGAUUCUCUUCUCCAGACUUUUUGCCACAA
This 30-nucleotide non-coding RNA is filed under the name Rattus norvegicus (Norway rat). Lineage: Eukaryota; Metazoa; Chordata; Mammalia; Rodentia; Muridae. The record is from RNAcentral.